GACGAACGCUGGCGGCGUGCUUAACACAUGCAAGUCGAACGGAAAGGCCCUGCUUGCAGGGUACUCGAGUGGCGAACGGGUGAGUAACACGUGGGUGAUCUGCCCUGCACUUCGGGUUAAGCCUGGGAAACUGGGUCUAAUACCGGAUAGGAGCCAUUUUUAGUGUGAUGGUUGGAAAGUUUUUUCGGUGUAGGAUGAGCUCGCGGCCUAUCAGCUUGUUGGUGGGGUGAUGGCCUACCAAGGCGGCGACGGGUAGCCGGCCUGAGAGGGUGGACGGCCACAUUGGGACUGAGAGACGGCCCAGACCACUACGGGAGGCAGCAGUGGGGAAUAUUGCACAAUGGGCGCAAGACUGAUGCAGCGACGCCGCGUGGGGGAUGACGGCCUUCGGGUUGUAAACUCCUGUCGCUAGGGAAGAAGCUUUUUGUGACGGUACCUAGAUAAGAAGCACCGGCUAACUACGUG
Molecule: ribosomal RNA, 465 nt
Filed under: uncultured bacterium
Lineage: Bacteria
Description: partial 16S ribosomal RNA
Rfam family: Bacterial small subunit ribosomal RNA
Source: RNAcentral